This 718-nucleotide long non-coding RNA is filed under the name Ananas comosus (pineapple). RNAcentral describes it as "long non-coding RNA (ACOM_LNC012041)". The record is from RNAcentral. Lineage: Eukaryota; Viridiplantae; Streptophyta; Magnoliopsida; Poales; Bromeliaceae.
CAUGGGUAGCUUGUGAAGGUCCCUUGGUAUAUUUUGGAAGUGUUUGGAUGAAAUCGGAGUGAAAACGGAAAAUUUAGAAUUUUCUGUAAAGAACGGGAUUGAGAAAAUUAGCAGAAAAUGCACAGUGUCAGAAAAUUAUGAAAAUUGGCAAAGAUGUCAGGAACAGUUUUAUGAGGCUAGAUUUGAAGUUUCAGAUUUUUCUGACACCUGUAUAGAGAGAAAUAGCAUUUGGAAGUUAUCGAAUAAUGAUUACAGUUCGGGACAGUUCGCAGUGACCAAACGGGGUCGAAAUUGAAAUGUUAAAAUUGCAGUGGACUUGUUAAGUAAGAGUGAACAUUCCUGUCAAAUUUGAGCUCAAUCGGACUGUCGGAAGAGCCUACGAAAGGUAUUUGAUCCGAGUUUCGCAACGGACUUAAGUCGAGGGGCAUUAUGGUCAUUUAUCACUAAGUUAGUGGAUUUCCACUAAUCUGGCAGCAGGGAGGCCUUCAUUCUUAUCCCCUCUGCUUCACUCUGGUUCCAUACGUAGAAAGAGAGAGAAGGAGAAAAGAGAGAGAAGAAGAAAAGAAGAGAAAAGAGAAGCAGGAGAAGAAAAGGAAGAAGAAAAAGGUAAGAAAUUUAAUCUCUCUCCCUCUCUCCUUGCUAUCUUUUUCCCCCUCACUCUUCUUCCCUGUCAACAGCAGCAGCAGCUCAGCUAGCUGCUGAGCAGGCAGUCAGCAGC